Molecule: long non-coding RNA, 1487 nt
Organism: Sphaeramia orbicularis (orbiculate cardinalfish)
Lineage: Eukaryota; Metazoa; Chordata; Actinopteri; Kurtiformes; Apogonidae
Exons: 2
Source: RefSeq, a predicted model, not a curated record
GCCUUUCCUGAGCAGGCGUCUGGUUUUGGCAUUUUUUUUAUCCAGUUUGGGAAAUGGCAAGUGUUUUCAUGUGUAAAACUUCCUCUGCUAACCACACUGUAGUACUGUACGGUAUUGUGUGUUACCCAAAGAAACUUUGCCUCAUAUCAAAGUUCUGUGGGGAAGGAGUGUCCUGGUGGUCCGGCGGUUUGAGGCUUAUACCAGCGAGCUGUGAUGUCCACGGCGCAUUUCCGGCCAGAGACCUUUGUCACAUUUCAUCAUGAACAACAGCCUUUUAUUUACACUUCUGUCAAUCUAAUUAAAGCCUGAAUUCCCUUGUAAACAAAAAAAACUGGCAACAAAAUGUUCAAGAGUUUUAAGAAAGUAAAUGCAUGAAACAGCACAAAGGUUUUUCCUCAAACACACAUUUUAUAAAGGUUCAGACAAUUUUUCUUUCAACCAUUCUGUGGAUUAAUUAGGGCAAAUAAAUACAUAAAAUGCCGUACAGACAAAAUUUUAUGCAUCAUGAAUUUAUGUUUACGCAAUUAAAUAUCUAGUCUAGUGCCAGUUCUGUAAUUCAGUUUAAAUACAUGAUUUAGUUGACGGGUUGAGUUCCAGACUGUGUAUUUCUCUUUGGGAUGGAACACAAAACCAGCCAAAGUGUGGUUGUUGACGAUGUGUGUCUCUGUUUUUGGGUGUGUGUUAGUGACAGGGGAAAAAUUGUGGUUGAGAGUGGUGGCGGGACUGUAGUACAAUCAAGAGAAAGCUCAGCUGCACUUGGGACUGUAUGUGUGGAAGAUUACUAAGGUGGUCAGAAUUUAAGAUUUCUAGGUAGCUACUGACAAACUCUGAAGAAGAGGAGAGCAGAGUAAAGCAAAAAGAGAGGAGAAGAAGUGGGGGGUGCAUUGUUAGGGAAUCCAAAGGCGGCGUAAUUAGGCCCAAUGGAUCCCAGAUGGCUGGCUGUCAGUGACGUGAGAAGAGGGACGAGCUCCUAAUAGGAACCAGACGCUCACAAACGCCUUUGAACUGCCGCUGAGAGAGAAAGAGAGGGAGAGAGAGAGAAUCAAACGCGGCAUGGGCCAUGCGCUCUUACUAAAUAACUGGCAACGGGAGACGAGAGGAAGUGAGGAGGAGAGCAGAGAAGCGAGAAAAGUGGUCUGUCCAGAGCAGUGUAUGGACGUGGGCGUCUUAGUCCAGAUAUGUCACAGGUCUCUUUUUUUUUCUGCUUGUGUCACCCACAAAAAAUGAAACAUUUCAGUGUUUGCCACCUGCCUAUACUUGUGUGAAUUACAGGUUUGCAAAGCGUGCAUGCUUCUUUUUCCAGUUGCACACAUUCACACCUGGGAGGUACUAAGACAUCUACUCCUGGAAACUCACCAGCGCAGAUUAAGCAGCUGGAACAAGGCCUCUGACAAUUUAUCUUUCAUCGUUUUCAAGCAAAUGGUGUUUAUAAUGAAAUACACUUUUACCGUUUCCUAUCCAGAAAAGUCCCUGCACUGUUUUAAAAA